RNAcentral lists this ribosomal RNA (762 nucleotides) under [Myrmecia] bisecta. Its description in RNAcentral is "bacterial LSU rRNA". It matches the Rfam family "Bacterial large subunit ribosomal RNA", at positions 1038 to 1727 of the family's 2925-position model. Lineage: Eukaryota; Viridiplantae; Chlorophyta; Trebouxiophyceae; Trebouxiales; Trebouxiaceae. The record is from RNAcentral.
GCUAAGGCCCCAAAAUGACCGCUAAGUGGCAAAGGAGGUGAGAAUGCUAAGACAACCAGGAGGUUUGCUUAGAAGCAGCCAUCCUUUAAAGAGUGCGUAAUAGCUCACUGGUAAAGCGUUCUUGCGCCGAAAAUUUACGGGACUAAGCGGUCUGCCGAAGCUGUGAGAUUUUUUUUUUCUUUCCCAGACCACUACGUUUAUGAAAAGAAAAAUCGGUAGGGGAGCGUUCCGCUCUAGGGUGAAGUAAUAACGAAAGUUUUUAUGGACAAAGCGGAAGUGAGAAUGUCGGCUUGAGUAACGCAAACAUUGGUGAGAAUCCAAUGCCCCGAAAACCUAAGGGUUCCUCUACUAGGUUCGUCCAUGGAGGGUGAGUCAGGACCUAAGGCAAGGCCGAAAGGCGUAGUCGAUGGAAAACAGGUUAAUAUUCCUGUACUGAUUUUUGAUUGGUACCGAGGAACGAAAAAGGUCUAGGUUGACCAAUAUUGGAUUUUGGUGGAAAAGUUCAAGGUUGUAAAGGAUAGAAUAAAAACUAUUUUUGAUAUUUUUAAAAUAUCCAGCUGAGACUUGAUACGGUUUUAUUCCCUGGGCUGUUUCAUAACGGAACAGUCUAUAAUAAAACUCAACUGCGGAUCAAACUUCCUAGAAAAGCUCGCACUACUAUUAAAGUCAAAAUCACCUGUACCCGAAACCGACACAGGUAGGUGGGUAGAGUAUACCUAGGGGCGCGAGAUAACUCUCUCUAAGGAACUCGGCAAAUGGCCC